GUUGAUUCAGCCUCUGCCCAAGGGAUUGAUGUGGGGAGCCAAAUUUGGCUGCGUGGCUACAGGGAACUCGCCGUGAGAAGCCUUCUAUUUGGGAAAGUAGGGUGUGAAGGGGGAGCUCACAGCUGUCGGACCACAGCCACACCACUUUCAACCAAACUUUUCGUCUUGUUUAAAUUCAGACCGACCACAAAAUGUUCAUUCAUUUCAUACUAACGAGGUUCGAUUCGUGAACGAAUCCUUCCUUUGAAUCCGACAUAUAAAUGAACCACAAAAUGAAUCUUAAUGAUUCAUUCGCGAAAGCGAUGCUUGAGUCAACUCACUGAAUCAAUGAACUAAGAAUCUCCUUCUAACCUAUUCGAUUACGCACAAAACCACACAUGAAACCAGAUGUGGUUUCAAUAAACAGUAUUUUAAUAAAACGGAAAACCAGCGCCUUUGAUUAUUUUUUCAUUAAAUAUCGCGUUAUUGAAAUGUUUAGAUCGUGUAAUAUGCCACGCUGAUGGGAACGACGUGAUAACGUAAUGGCGAAAAGAACCACUGAAUCGGUUGUUUGAAACAAAGUUCGAAAUGAUUCUUUCCGCUCGAAAAAAAAUAUACGUAUGUAUACUCACGCAUCUCAUCACUAAUGUAAAGCGUUAUCAAACUAGACUGGCCAAAGUAGGCCUAAAAUCUGAAUGCGAGAAGUGCUGGUGAUCGCGAAAAAAUUAUCUUUAGGCUACCUGUAUGACCACAGCAUUUCGAUAAAAUAAACAACAGCUCGAAGUCAGCUGGCAGUAACCUAUGGAAUACUUCGUAGUAAUGAACACUUUGCGAAAGAUAGGAAUUCCCUAGAUUUUUCCCGAACUUUGCAAACACAAAAGCCCAGUCUAGGCUACAUUUGACAGAAAGCAGCUCAGUGGAUUGCCACAGGGAGUCUGACACCACCGGGACUUUAAGAUGCAUGCAAACAUCUGCUACUGUGAGAGUCUCAUCUGCUCAUCCUCAUGUUUCCCAAAAGAAGGGCUGGGAUUCAGACGGGAUUAUUUGUGGCAGAUCGGACAGAGGAAAUGCAUGGUAUGCCACGUAAAAACAAAACAACAUUCUGAUAAAUGUGUUUAGCCAUGGAUAGGCAGCUGGAGAAUGGUGAGACAGUUGCAUUUCCUGCUGAGAGACAGACUCUAUGUGUGUUGUUUCUUUAACACUGUGGCAUGUGCUGCUCUACUCUACCAAUUUUGUCUUUUAGUGUUUCUGCUACACUGGAACACCCAAGAAGAAUGAGACCAACCAAUAGAUCUACAUUAUGGUUUGCUAUUUUAUUUCAACAAAUCACCCAAAG
Long non-coding RNA from Cyprinus carpio carpio, 1315 nucleotides. The record is from Ensembl. NCBI's taxonomy places the organism in Eukaryota, Metazoa, Chordata, Actinopteri, Cypriniformes, Cyprinidae.